GUGUAUGAUCAUCAGGAUCCUCUUCCAUCCCUGGAACUGCAGGUGGCCCAGUGUGAGAGUACAGGGAAAAAGCACAGCAGCUGAGCUGCCUCUCCCACUUGGCAUGAUUGCCUAGGAGGGAGUUAUACAAAAGGAGAGAAUUGAUUUCUACGUUGGUUCCAUGAGAAAAAUGAAACUUCCUGCAAUUUCUCUGUGUGCGUCUCCCUCACCCCAGCUCCCCUUCCAAAUAACUUUUGACCCUUUUGGUCAGUUUUGGCCCUGUUGGAUCAGGAGGUUACACUGCAGGGAGUUAAUUGAGAUGAGCACUUGGUAAGAGGAGAGAGUCUCCAUGAACAUCCCAGUGAAGAGGAGUCUGUGGCUGAGCACCAGAAGAUUCGUAUGGAAAAGGGACGUGAAUGCUGCAGGGAGAUCUUUGCAGCAUUUCUACAGGAUCUACUGGAUUGUUUUACCUGAACUGUGGGAACUGGAGCAAUCUGCAGCUCACAAGAAAAAUCAGGAGACUCAAGUGAUGUGCCCUGGGACUUGCUCUUCAUUGUCUUUGCAGCUGUGAUCCCAACAGUCCUUGUGCUCCUGCUCAGAGUGACAGCCCAAGGUGUCAAACCCACUCUGAUCCUUCUUCUGCGGCAAGAUUUAGUUGUCUUUCAUACUGAGAACUUAUCUUAACAUAAUUUUAAUGCAUAAGGUGAAUUUCUUGCUAUGUUAAACUUCAUUUUCAGUGUGGAAAAGGAAGAGAACUGUGAAAGAUGUCCCUACUUUCCCUGUAUUUCUUCCAUAGAAAAGCUAGGACUGCAAGUAAGAGAAGAGUAGGGCCAAGGAAGCUCAAAGGACAGAGGAAACUUAGCCUGAACAAAACCUGAACAAACCUUCAUUACAGAACUGUCUGACUUUGGUGAAAAUUAUAUAUUGCUUUUGACUAGCAGGCUUUAUGAGAAAGCCAAGUUACUUUAUUAUUUGUAAAGUCAGUGACUAAAAAUGAAAGAGAUAACCUCUCAGAUAAUGUUGGAGAGUUUGUUUGUUUGUUGGCUUGUUUCAGUGGUUUGAGGAAGAAAUGAAAACUCCUUUGGUCACUAAAGGAAAUCAAAUAGCCAAGACAUUCAAAGCUUUGAUCACAGUCUUGAAUCUAAAAAUAUAAUAAACUAAGUAGCACUGCAAACAAACAUAAGUUGAGGCAUCAAUAACAGCAACUGAUAACCAGCUUUGUGGCUGGGAUAAUUUAGCUGGUUUAAAAUAAAAGAGUUAGCAGUAUAAGAAAGUAUAAGAAAGUAUGAAAAAUGGGCAAAAACUCUUGCUUUUCUGAGCACCACCUUCUACCUACUCCUUUGUUGCUGCUCUCAUGAAGAACUUAGAUGAGUUGAUGGCUGCAAUGUGUGUUUUUGAAUGAUAAACCUAAUUCUUAGUUACACAGCUGCAUCUGGAAAGGUCAACAGAGGACAAAGGUCAUGGGUCCAAUAAUGAUACUUCCUUGCAUGUUAAAAAACUUUAACAGUUUUCAUUUUAGAAGCUAAUAGAAUAAUCACCCUCAGCAGUUUAAUGCCAUCAGUCUGAAAGUAUUUUCUUUGAACUGCUGGCUGCUGCUUUAUUUGUUUAUUUACCUAUUAUUUUGGGAGAGGAGGAAGAGGGUGUAAGGAGAAACCAGGAAUUGCUGCAUGAGAGCUGACUUGUCUCGGGUAUCACACCAAACAAAUAUCUCUUGGGAAUGUUCUAGGUGUGGCUGCAGCUCUCCUAGCCCAAGGGACAGGCUCUGGGACAGAUGAGUGAGCUUUGGGUGUCUAACAUUAAAACUUCAUAUUCUGAGCAUAAAAAAAACCUCUUGAAGAAAAGUCCUGCCCUGCUCUCAGUGGAACUGCACUUCUGUGAACAUUUUAAACUAUUUAUUCAUGCAUCACCUGGUUCCAUUACAAGCAGACUUUUUCCCCCCAGCCAGUUUCCCACAAAGGCAGUGGGUGCUUGUGUUGGCACAGGAGGUGCAGCAGCAGGCAGCAGAUGUUAGCUGGGAGCUGGGAAUGCUUCUUUCCACGGUGGCCACUUAUGUCUUCAAAGCAUUUGAGAAACCCACAGCCUCAGGAACUGCUGAUAUGCAGCUUCCAGAGCUGUGUGGUAACUUUCUUACAGCCAUAUUAUGGUAUUUACCUAAAGGGCUUCAUUCCCUCUAUUACCAACAAUAUUAACAAGAAAUUCUUUGUAAGAAGCUUGGGCUACAUUCACUUUCAAAGUGAAUUCACACAUACAACUCAGAACACUGCUUAUAAGCAGUAUUUUAAGAUUUAGUACUUUACCUUGUUGUUGGCAAUGUGACUUUGUGACCCUGGAAUAUAAACUCAAAGGGUGCUUUGUCAGUGAUUUCUGAAGAGCAGAGACUUCAUCCUGAGUUGGCUUUACAGUACAAACACAAAUAUUGUUCAUGAUUUCUGCCCUCUGAUAAUGAUUUCAUCUUGUGAAAAGACUCUGCUGUGACAAGCUCACCCCUUUAUGUUAGUGAAGUAGUUAAAAUGCAGAGCUGUUCAGAGUAUUAUUUAAAUGUCUUUUGCAACCUUAGAAGCGAGUGACCUUGCUGCCCUGGCUAAAUUCCCAUUUACAUCAUUACUGUAAGUAAGUCUACUGUUUAAUUCCUCAAGGAAAUGCUGUGCAGAAGCCAAAGCUAAACCUGCACUGUUCAGUCUGAACUGGGAGAUCCACAGAAAACAGUGCUCUGCAGGGAUUCUGCACUGGGAGAGGUGUUUGCUGUGAAGCACUGGUGUUAGCUGAUGUAUAAAUUACUGCCUUUGCUCUGCCAUCACCAGAAAGACUCAGAUAGUAAAGGUAAUCAGCAAGGAGUACAAGCCAGAACAGAGAAACAACAGGCUUUAGGACUAUCCAGAAAUGUAUUUAAUGACCCUGACAAGUUUCGCCCUUGAAAUUAUAAAUUAGUCAGAACAAUAUUAGUCAGAACCUGUAAGCAAUUAGCCCAAAAAAGGGCUGAAGGACAGUUCUGGUGUUGCUAAGGCCCAGGGAAAAACACAAAAAAGUGUUAAAAGGGACAGUAUUUUAUUUAAAGGAAAUAGAGUAGAAUACUUUCAUUUUUUUUCCUAAAGAUUCUUAUGGUAGAAUGGCAUAGAGAUUUUGCAGGAAAGGAAGAUUACUUUUAUUAGGAAAAACUGUGUCUGUCAGAAUAGGUAAGCACUGAACAGAUUCCACACCACAGAAUGGCUUUUAUCAGAGGUUUGCAGAAUUAGACAAAUAUCUGUGAAGAAUAAAUAUACUUCAGUUCCUCUGCUUUGGGCAGAAGGUCUGUUCAUGUUUCUCUGAGUUGUAUUUGAAGCUGUUGUUUUCCUCUGUCCUGUUCUCUGCUGGCUCUAAUUCUGGCUGUGAGCAUGUGCUUUAGAAGGCUCACUGCAGACUGGGAUUUGGCACAUUGAGGUAUCUAAAAGAGCUUCCUCCCCAAGGCCAGACAAACAAUUGUUAGGCUGAGAUACAAAGAUCCAGGUGAUCCUAAAACACGCGGCACAAUUUGCAGGGUUUUUUUUCCCCUGUUCUUGAACUCAAAAAUCCAUGGCAACCACUGUUUAGUAAUAUCAGCCUCUUUCUCAUAGCUUUCCUGCCAAGUCUGCCCACCAAGGACAGGGCAUUGUUGGAGCUGCUGUUAACUAAUAACCAGUUUGGGCCUUACAAAAUACCAAUGAAGAGCACUACACUUGAUUGGAAAAAAUGGGUUAAAAUCACUGGUUACCUCUUCAGUAUUUACAGCAGCACCUGAGCAGUCUCAGGGGAGCAGCCCCUCAGUCAAAGCCCAUUGCCAUAAUGUACUCCAUAAGGCCUUGCCUGUAUGUUUAUUUUUUGUAAUGCUUGCCUAGUGCUGGAAUUUCAAGCCUUCGUGUUUAUCCAGCCACUUGUCUGAGUGGAAAAUUUGGGAAGUAAACAAGUCCCCUUCUAGGCACCUGCCGCCCUUGCAUGGUCUGUCCCUCAGCCUAAAUAAAGCUGCGACUGCUUCUGUGAAAACUGCUGUCCUGCUGUGAUGCAUGGGGCACCUGCAGGUAGUGAACACUGAUCUCUACAUGUUGCAGAGAUAUUUUCUUACCCGUUUUAUUUAUCAUUUCAAUCUUCUCUCUUUUGUGUCAAAUCUUUCUAUUAAAGAAUAAUACAAUAUGUGUAAAGUA
This is a long non-coding RNA of Oenanthe melanoleuca, 4133 nucleotides long. RefSeq lists it as uncharacterized. Lineage: Eukaryota; Metazoa; Chordata; Aves; Passeriformes; Muscicapidae. The record is from RefSeq and is a predicted model, not a curated record. The transcript is spliced from 3 exons.